Molecule: ribosomal RNA, 397 nt
Filed under: uncultured bacterium
Lineage: Bacteria
Description: partial 16S ribosomal RNA
Rfam family: Bacterial small subunit ribosomal RNA
Source: RNAcentral
CUACGUAGGGGGCGAGCGUUGUCCGGAAUGAUUGGGCGUAAAGGGCGCGUAGGCGGCCCGGUAAGUCUGGAGUGAAAGUCCUGUUUUUAAGAUGGGAAUUGCUUUGGAUACUGUCGGGCUUGAGUGCAGGAGAGGUAAGUGGAAUUCCCAGUGUAGCGGUGAAAUGCGUAGAGAUUGGGAGGAACACCAGUGGCGAAGGCGACUUACUGGACUGUAACUGACGCUGAGGCGCGAAAGUGUGGGGAGCAAACAGGAUUAGAUACCCUGGUAGUCCACACUGUAAACGAUGAAUGCUAGGUGUAGGGGGUAUCGACCCCUUCUGUGCCGCAGUCAACACAAUAAGCAUUCCGCCUGGGGAGUACGGCCACAAGGUUGAAACUCAAAGGAAUUGACGGGG